Molecule: ribosomal RNA, 239 nt
Filed under: uncultured bacterium
Lineage: Bacteria
Description: partial 16S ribosomal RNA
Rfam family: Bacterial small subunit ribosomal RNA
Source: RNAcentral
UUGGCGGACGGGUGAGUAACGCGUGGGUAACCUGCCUUAUACAGGGGGAUAACAACCAGAAAUGGUUGCUAAUACCGCAUAAGCGCACAGGACCGCAUGGUCUAGUGUGAAAAACUCCGGUGGCAUAAGAUGGACCCGCGUUGGAUUAGCUGGUUGGCAGGGUAACGGCCUACCAAGGCGACGAUCCAUAGCCGGCCUGAGAGGGUGAACGGCCACAUUGGGACUGAGACACGGCCCAG